AGAGUUUGAUCAUGGCUCAGGAUGAACGCUGGCGGCGUGCCUAACACAUGCAAGUCGAGCGAUUUACUUCGGUAAAGAGCGGCGGACGGGUGAGUAACGCGUGGGUAACCUGCCCUGUACACACGGAUAACAUACCGAAAGGUAUGCUAAUACGAGAUAAUAUGCUUUUAUCGCACGGUAGAAGUAUCAAAGCUUUUGCGGUACAGGAUGGACCCGCGUCUGAUUAGCUAGUUGGUAAGGUAACGGCUUACCAAGGCGACGAUCAGUAGCCGACCUGAGAGGGUGAUCGGCCACAUUGGAACUGAGACACGGUCCAAACUCCUACGGGAGGCAGCAGUGGGGAAUAUUGCACAAUGGGCGAAAGCCUGAUGCAGCAACGCCGCGUGAGCGAUGAAGGCCUUCGGUUCGUAAAGCUCUGUCCUCAAGGAAGAUAAUGACGGUACUUGAGGAGGAAGCCCCGGCUAACUACGUGCCAGCAGCCGCGGUAAUACGUAGGGGGCUAGCGUUAUCCGGAAUUACUGGGCGUAAAGGGUGCGUAGGUGGUUUCUUAAGUCAGAGGUGAAAGGCUACGGCUCAACCGUAGUAAGCCUUUGAAACUGGGAAACUUGAGUGCAGGAGAGGAGAGUGGAAUUCCUAGUGUAGCGGUGAAAUGCGUAGAUAUUAGGAGGAACACCAGUUGCGAAGGCGGCUCUCUGGACUGUAACUGACACUGAGGCACGAAAGCGUGGGGAGCAAACAGGAUUAGAUACCCUGGUAGUCCACGCCGUAAACGAUGAGUACUAGCUGUCGGAGGUUACCCCCUUCGGUGGCGCAGCU
This 816-nucleotide ribosomal RNA is filed under the name uncultured bacterium. RNAcentral's name for it is "bacterial SSU rRNA". It matches the Rfam family "Bacterial small subunit ribosomal RNA", at positions 8 to 853 of the family's 1533-position model. The record is from RNAcentral.